Populus euphratica (Euphrates poplar) is the source of this 1954-nucleotide RNA transcript. It is a transcript of the gene named tryptophan synthase beta type 2, with no coding region annotated. The transcript is spliced from 7 exons. The record is from RefSeq and is a predicted model, not a curated record. Lineage: Eukaryota; Viridiplantae; Streptophyta; Magnoliopsida; Malpighiales; Salicaceae.
ACGGCGCGGUUCAUAGCACUUCAACCAAACAAUACUUCAUUUCCAACACCAUCUCGUCUAUAUUAAUUAAUGCACAGUAGGGGUCUACUCAUCUUGCAUGUGCCAAAAACUUGAAUAACAUAUUAGUGCUUGGUCUUCUCAUCUUCCAAGGUCUAAGAUUGACCAACUUGGAAGUGAGAAAACACUAGCGGGAUAUGGCCAUUCAAGCAACAUUCAUAGCAGAUCCAGUUCUCAUUUCAAACCCAUCAAGAAUCUCCAUCAGAGGUUGGGAGCAAUGUAUUGGGUCUCUUGUGUUGAAAACGAGGCCUAGGCAUCUGAGGCUUUCAAAUGGAGGCAGAGUCAGAGCAAGAGCUUCUCUGAAUGCUGAUUCGAAAGCGGUUGGCAUUCCUCGUCAGUGGUACAAUGUUGUUGCAGAUCUUUCAGUGAAGCCUCCUCCCCCACUGCAUCCUAAAACAUUUGAACCAGUCAAACCUGAAGAUUUAUCUCCUCUAUUUCCUGAUGAGUUGAUUAGGCAGGAGGCAAGCACUGACAAGUUCAUAGAUAUCCCGGAAGAAGUUCUUGAUAUUUACAGUCUCUGGCGCCCAACUCCAUUGAUCAGAGCAAAGAGGUUGGAAAAGCUUCUCAAUACACCUGCCAGAAUUUACUACAAGUAUGAAGGUGGCAGCCCAGCCGGAUCCCAUAAACCCAACACUGCAGUCCCGCAAGUUUUUUACAAUGCGCAGCAAGGCAUCAAGAAUGUUGUGACAGAAACUGGUGCUGGCCAAUGGGGAAGUUCAUUGGCCUUUGCGUGCAGCUUAUUUGAUCUUGACUGUGAGGUGUGGCAGGUUCGCGCUUCUUAUGAUCAGAAACCAUAUCGUAGAUUAAUGAUGGAGACCUGGGGUGCAAAGGUACACCCAUCUCCAUCAAGCAUUACUGAGACUGGUAGGAGAAUUCUCCAGAUGGAUCCGUCAAGUUCAGGAAGUUUAGGAAUAGCUAUAUCAGAAGCUGUAGAGGUUGCAGCUAAAAAUGCUGACACCAAAUACUGCUUGGGGAGUGUGCUGAAUCAUGUUUUGUUGCAUCAGACAGUCAUAGGUGAGGAGUGCAUAAAACAAAUGGAGGCUAUUGGUGAAACCCCUGAUGUGAUAAUAGGAUGUACUGGUGGAGGGUCCAAUUUUGCAGGACUCAGUUUCCCAUUCAUCCGAGAGAAGCUCAAUGGGAAAAUCAACCCUGUCAUAAAAGCUGUUGAACCUGCAGCAUGUCCUUCACUGACAAAAGGUGUAUACGCAUAUGAUUAUGGAGAUACAGCAGGAAUGACUCCAUUAAUGAAGAUGCACACUCUAGGACAUGACUUCAUUCCUGAUCCUAUUCAUGCUGGUGGAUUGCGCUACCAUGGCAUGGCUCCAUUAAUCUCUCAUGUGUAUGAAUUGGGUUUCAUGGAAGCAAUGGCAAUCCCUCAGAUCGAGUGUUUUCGAGGUGCCAUACAAUUUGCUCGGUCGGAAGGACUGAUACCAGCACCGGAGCCAACUCAUGCAAUCGCUGCUACCAUAAGGGAAGCACUGCAUUGUAAAGAGACUGGAGAGGCAAAGGUUAUUCUCAUGGCAAUGUGCGGACACGGCCAUUUUGACCUGAAAUCUUAUGAGAAGUAUUUGCAAGGAAAGAUGGUUGACUUGUCAUUCGAUGAGGAGAAAAUAAGAACAUCAUUGGACAAAGUUCCUCAGGUGACAAGAAAUUGAGCCAGUACAGGUGGUGCUAUGUAGGAUGCACAUUUUAGAUUAGAAGGAGAAAAUCUUUCUUGUUAGGUGAACAAGAGAUUUUUUGCUAUUAGAUGCUUUUUAUCGAAACUUAGUUGUUGCAAUUAGGCUUUCAAUAAAAUACAAGACUUGGACAACAGCAUUUGCCUUGGUCUGAAGCAGUGGUUCUCUCUUCUGCCACCACAGUAAUCUGUGUUCUUGUCAUAAAACGUAACUCUUUGUUA